AUUGAACGCUGGCGGCAGGCCUAACACAUGCAAGUCGAGCGAGAAAGGUCUUCGGACUGAGUACAGCGGCGGACGGGUGAGUAAUGCGCAGGAAUCUACCUGGUAGUGGGGGAUAACUCGGGGAAACUCGAACUAAUACCGCAUACGCCUACGGGGAAAGCGGGGGACCUUCGGGCCUCGCGCUAUCAGAUGAGCCUGCGUAGGAUUAGCUUGUUGGUGAGGUAAAGGCUCACCAAGGCGACGAUCCUUAGCUGGUCUGAGAGGAUGAUCAGCCACACUGGAACUGAGACACGGUCCAGACUCCUACGGGAGGCAGCAGUGGGGAAUAUUGCGCAAUGGGCGAAAGCCUGACGCAGCCAUGCCGCGUGUGUGAAGAAGGCCCUUGGGUUGUAAAGCACUUUCAAUUGGAAGAAAGUUGCGUGUUAAUAGCACGUAGCUGUGACGUUACCUUUAGAAGAAGCACCGGCUAACUCCGUGCCAGCAGCC
Molecule: ribosomal RNA, 486 nt
Filed under: uncultured bacterium
Lineage: Bacteria
Description: bacterial SSU rRNA
Rfam family: Bacterial small subunit ribosomal RNA
Source: RNAcentral